This 1251-nucleotide ribosomal RNA is filed under the name metagenome. RNAcentral's name for it is "bacterial LSU rRNA". It matches the Rfam family "Bacterial large subunit ribosomal RNA", at positions 1633 to 2876 of the family's 2925-position model. The record is from RNAcentral.
CAUAUACGACCGUACCGCAAACCGACACUGGUGCGCGAGAUGAGUAUUCUAAGGCGCUUGAGAGAACUCAGGAGAAGGAACUCGGCAAAUUGACACCGUAACUUCGGAAGAAGGUGUGCCCUAUUAGUGUGUAGUGAACAACGAAGCAUGAAUGGGUUGCAAAAAAUCGGUGGCUGCGACUGUUUAUUAAAAACACAGCACUCUGCAAACACGAAAGUGGACGUAUAGGGUGUGACGCCUGCCCGGUGCUGGAAGAUUGAAUGAUGGGGUGCAAGCUCUUGAUUGAAGUCCCAGUAAACGGCGGCCGUAACGAUAACGGUCCUAAGGUAGCGAAAUUCCUUGUCGGGUAAGUUCCGACCUGCACGAAUGGCGUAACGAUGGCCACACUGUCUCCUCCUGAGACUCAGCGAAGUUGAAAUGUUUGUGAUGAUGCAAUCUCCCCGCGGAAAGACGGAAAGACCCCAUGAACCUUUACUGUAGCUUUGUAUUGGACUUUGAACAGAUCUGUGUAGGAUAGGUGGGAGGCUUUGAAGCAGGGUCGCUAGAUCUUGUGGAGCCAACGUUGAAAUACCACCCUGGUGUGUUUGAGGUUCUAACCUAGGUCCAUUAUCUGGAUCGGGGACAGUGCAUGGUAGGCAGUUUGACUGGGGCGGUCUCCUCCCAAAGCGUAACGGAGGAGUUCGAAGGUACGCUAGUUACGGUCGGACAUCGUGACGAUAGUGCAAUGGCAUAAGCGUGCUUAACUGCGAGACUGACAAGUCGAGCAGAUGCGAAAGCAGGACAUAGUGAUCCGGUGGUUCUGUAUGGAAGGGCCAUCGCUCAACGGAUAAAAGGUACUCUGGGGAUAACAGGCUGAUACCGCCCAAGAGUUCAUAUCGACGGCGGUGUUUGGCACCUCGAUGUCGGCUCAUCUCAUCCUGGGGCUGUAGCCGGUCCCAAGGGUAUGGCUGUUCGCCAUUUAAAGAGGUACGUGAGCUGGGUUUAAAACGUCGUGAGACAGUUUGGUCCCUAUCUUCCGUGGGCGCUGCAGAUUUGAGGAAGCCUGCUCCUAGUACGAGAGGACCGGAGUGGACACACCUCUGGUGUAUCGGUUGUCACGCCAGUGGCAUUGCCGAGUAGCUAAGUGUGGAAGAGAUAACCGCUGAAAGCAUCUAAGCGGGAAACUCGUUUCAAGAUGAGAUCUGCCGGGGCCUUGAGCCCCCUAAAGAGUCGUUCAAGACCAGGACGUUGAUAGGUCAGGUGUGGAAGCGG